CAGUAGCCACGGUAAUACGAAGGGGGCUAGCGUUGCUCGGAAUCACUGGGCGUAAAGGGUGCGUAGGCGGGUCUUUAAGUCAGGGGUGAAAUCCUGGAGCUCAACUCCAGAACUGCCUUUGAUACUGAAGAUCUUGAGUUCGGGAGAGGUGAGUGGAACUGCGAGUGCAGAGGUGAAAUUCGUAGAUAUUCGCAAGAACACCAGUGGCGAAGGCGGCUCACUGGCCCGAUACUGACGCUGAGGCACGAAAGCGUGGGGAGCAAACAGGAUUAGAUACCCGAGUAGUCCCUGUCUCUUAUAC
Molecule: ribosomal RNA, 301 nt
Filed under: uncultured bacterium
Lineage: Bacteria
Description: partial 16S ribosomal RNA
Rfam family: Bacterial small subunit ribosomal RNA
Source: RNAcentral